This 174-nucleotide non-coding RNA is filed under the name Spumella elongata. The record is from RNAcentral. Lineage: Eukaryota; Chrysophyceae; Chromulinales; Chromulinaceae.
UGACAGGAAGUAGUAAACAAGUAAAGAGCAAGACAGGAAACCAGCCCACAUGCCUAAAUGCUUCGUGUGCUGCUUGUAGGUACUUGUCAGCAGCUUUUUCGUAUCUUCAAAGUUAAUUGAGUUCAUAUUUAGUGUAUAAUCGACUAACAGCUACUUUGAGCUAAUGAAUAGAAA